UGUUAGUAGACUUUUUGUUUAUGUGGUGGCAGACUUUUUAAUUUAUGUUAUGGCAGAUUUCUUAACGGAAAUCUAGUGGUGGCAGACUUUUUAAUUUAUUUUAUGGCAGAUUUAUUAAAGGAAAUCUAGAUUAUGUAAACCAAACUUAAUUUAAUGUUCAAUUUCGACCGGUUUACAUUAAUUUCGAAUCUGGUUUAUUUUUAGAUUAAUUAAAAUUAGAAUUAGGUAAUUUUUUUGUAGUUGUCAACUUGUCAUCAUCUCUCUCAUUUUUCUUUUCUUCCUUAUCAAGUUAUCCUUUUUCAUGGUGAUUUAAUCACUUGUUGCAAUCCUUAUGUUUGGAGAAAG
This 345-nucleotide long non-coding RNA is filed under the name Brassica napus (rape). RNAcentral describes it as "long non-coding RNA (BNAP_LNC012359)". The record is from RNAcentral. Lineage: Eukaryota; Viridiplantae; Streptophyta; Magnoliopsida; Brassicales; Brassicaceae.